Molecule: ribosomal RNA, 487 nt
Filed under: uncultured bacterium
Lineage: Bacteria
Description: partial 16S ribosomal RNA
Source: RNAcentral
UUAUUCUGUUGGUAACGUCAAAACAGCAAGGUAUUAACUUACUGCCCUUCCUCCCAACUUAAAGUGCUUUACAAUCCGAAGACCUUCUUCACACACGCGGCAUGGCUGGAUCAGGCUUUCGCCCAUUGUCCAAUAUUCCCCACUGCUGCCUCCCGUAGGAGUCUGGACCGUGUCUCAGUUCCAGUGUGACUGAUCAUCCUCUCAGACCAGUUACGGAUCGUCGCCUUGGUAGGCCUUUACCCCACCAACUAGCUAAUCCGACCUAGGCUCAUCUGAUAGCGUGAGGUCCGAAGAUCCCCCACUUUCUCCCUCAGGACGUAUGCGGUAUUAGCGCCCGUUUCCGGACGUUAUCCCCCACUACCAGGCAGAUUCCUAGGCAUUACUCACCCGUCCGCCGCUGAAUCCAGGAGCAAGCUCCCUUCAUCCGCUCGACUUGCAUGUGUUAGGCCUGCCGCCAGCGUUCAAUCUGAGCCAGGAUCAAACUCUG